UACGUAGGGUGCAAGCGUUGUCCGGAAUUAUUGGGCGUAAAGAGCUCGUAGGCGGUCUGUCGCGUCGAAUGUGAAAACCCGGGGCUCAACCCCGGGCCUGCAUUUGAUACGGGCAGACUAGAGUUCGGUAGGGGAGUCUGGAAUUCCUGGUGUAGCGGUGAAAUGCGCAGAUAUCAGGAGGAACACCGGUGGCGAAGGCGGGACUCUGGGCCGAUACUGACGCUGAGGCGCGAAAGCGUGGGGAGCAAACAGG
Molecule: ribosomal RNA, 253 nt
Filed under: uncultured bacterium
Lineage: Bacteria
Description: partial 16S ribosomal RNA
Rfam family: Bacterial small subunit ribosomal RNA
Source: RNAcentral